AUUGAACGCUGGCGGAAUGCUUUACACAUGCAAGUCGAACGGCAGCACGGGGCAACCUGGUGGCGAGUGGCGAACGGGUGAGUAAUGCAUCGGAACGUGCCAUUGAGUGGGGGAUAACGUAGCGAAAGUUGCGCUAAUACCGCAUAUUCUGUGAGCAGGAAAGCAGGGGACCGCAAGGCCUUGCGCUCUUUGAGCGGCCGAUGUCAGAUUAGCUAGUUGGUGAGGUAACGGCUUACCAAGGCGACGAUCUGUAGCGGGUCUGAGAGGAUGAUCCGCCACACUGGAACUGAGACACGGUCCAGACUCCUACGGGAGGCAGCAGUGGGGAAUUUUGGACAAUGGGCGCAAGCCUGAUCCAGCCAUGCCGCGUGAGUGAAGAAGGCCU
Molecule: ribosomal RNA, 385 nt
Filed under: uncultured bacterium
Lineage: Bacteria
Description: bacterial SSU rRNA
Rfam family: Bacterial small subunit ribosomal RNA
Source: RNAcentral